GGGGGCUGGUGGUCCGAGUCCAAGCUGCCGUCACCGACCCGGCCAGUGUGUGGUCAGUCCCUUGGAGGGGCUGGGAGGGGACUCCCCCGUGCCGGCGAGGAUGAUGUUGGCGACGCUGCCGCGUGUGUGGCAGGCUCCGUGGCUGCCUGGGAGGCCACAGCCUGAGUGAUGGGUGACAGCUGGGAGAGGGUGGGUGACACCUGCCGGGCCUGCUGCCUCCUCGCCUCGUGCUCGGGGACAACGGGCUGACACCAGCGGGCGGUGCUGCGGCGAGGAGCCUGGUGUGCUCAAGCCCUGGCUGGUGCGCGGAUGCCCAGGUCAUUGAAGAUUGACAUCACCUGAAUUGUGAAGUCAAUCUUUGCGACAGAGGAAGAAAACUUGGCAGCUGCACAGAAGGAAAAGUGGGGCAAAUGGACAGAAGAAUGUGGGGUGGCUGGGUCAUGUCCCUGCCUCCUUCCAAUUUUCAAGUGAAAGCCCCAAGGACAGACAAAAGUGGAGGGAAGACUAUAGAGUGUUGGCGGAAGCCUUUGGUUCUGGCUUGUGAUUCUUGGAAAUGCUCUGACAUCUCCUUGUUCAUCAGUUCCACAAAAUUUCCAUCAGCCGUUUUGUUCUGCCCCUGCUUCCAAGCCCGUCUGCCUCUGGCCCAUCUGAGAUGGGGAAUUUGUCUCCAUGAUCUCAGGGACUGAUCCAUCCAGUGAUAAUUUAUUCUCCCCUCCCGGCUUGUUUGGAUUCUCCGCGGCUGCUCUGCCUGACCAGCGCAGCACGAGGAGCCCCUCUGCAACCAGGCAGCGCUCAGUUCACAAAGGCACAUGACAAGAGCAUGAGAGGGCAGGGAGGGGGGUAAACUGGGUGCUGCCCUGCACUUUGGGGAGCCCCAGCUCCCGAGGCUCUGGGGAGGGGAGCCAGCUGAGUGAAGAGCAGGAAGGCGGUGUUGCUUCCCUGGAGAGGAGGCUUGGCGGCUCCGACGUGCCAGCCCAGGCCUUGACACGCUGCACUGUCACCUUGGCAAAGCUGAGGACUACCUUAGCCUGUCACCCCAUCUCUGCACAUCUCCGCUCUGUCCCCAGUCUUAGUGAGUAGGAGGGUGGGGGGACGGCUUGGCUCCUCAUUGGCGCAGCUCCAGGCCUGGAGGUCUCUGGAAUUUGGUACAAUGUGAGGUAAAGGUCAUUUGAUGAGUUGAUACAAAAGCUUUUCAGCCCAGGAACUAACUGUUGUGGCCUCAACUUAAACAAAUGCUGCGAGGCAAUGUUUUUGGUUCUGUCCAAACUCUGAGGGAGCCACGGGUGGGGCAUGCUCACUGCACAGUGCUCCGGCCUUCAGGGCACACGAGCCUGCUCGGCUUGGUGGCUUGGUACCGCACCUCCUUCCAGAGCAGGGAUGGGACUGCUUUCACUGUGGAAAGAGGCCGCUUUGAGGUCAUAAUUGUUCUAAUAUUUACUUUCUCUAAAGCAUAGAGGAGGCCAAUUUCAGGAGCCACCAAAGGGUGCUCACUCAAACUUUUUUUUUUUUUUUUUUUUUUUUUAAGAUUUUAUUCAUUUGAGAGAGAAAAUGAGCAGGGUGGGGAGGGAGAGAGGGAGAGGGAAACACAGGCUCCCCACUGAGCAGGAUUCUCCGCUGCUCAUCCCAGGGCCCCAAGAUCAUGAUCUGAGCUCAAGACAGCCACUUAACUGAGUGAACCACCCAAACGCCCUUCAAAAUGUUCUUGGGAACUGGUCAGAUAGGUUCCCCAGGGCUACCCUUGCUCCUGCAGCAUUACGUGACUUAUCUCACUUGUCUGUACAACAAGAGCCCAAAAAGUCCUCUGGGCAGCUGAACAGAAGGCACUAGUGUUUCCUGCCUUCCUAAUAAAGUACCUAACAUGCUGGGAAACA
RNAcentral lists this long non-coding RNA (1871 nucleotides) under Vulpes vulpes (red fox). RNAcentral describes it as "lncRNA (ENSVVUG00000017767.1)". Lineage: Eukaryota; Metazoa; Chordata; Mammalia; Carnivora; Canidae. The record is from RNAcentral.